AGGGUUGUUAUAGAGAACUUUUUACAAGGCUACAUGUAUAAACUGAGUAAGAAGCAUUGAAGUAGCAGAGAGAGCAUCUAUCUUGCUGUGGUACCCAGAGAACUACUGCCUGAUUAGUGUGGUCGCAAUGAGCACAGUUGCAUCAGUAUAGUGCACCAGAGUAGUGUUCCACAGAAUAACUGAAAGGCGAAAACCCUGCAGAGUAUAUUGUGGCAGAGAACAGAAGAAUGAACACAGCCCUGAGCAAGGCAAUGAAUUUGUACUGCUGUAUUUUCCAUGUAAGGUAAUAUUUAUUGAAUUAUAAAAUAAAGGUUUCAAAGAAAACAAA
This is a long non-coding RNA of Symphalangus syndactylus (siamang), 328 nucleotides long. RefSeq lists it as uncharacterized. Lineage: Eukaryota; Metazoa; Chordata; Mammalia; Primates; Hylobatidae. The record is from RefSeq and is a predicted model, not a curated record.